ACGAACGCUGGCGGCGCGCCUAACACAUGCAAGUCGAACGAGCGAGAGAGAGCUUGCUUUCUUGAGCGAGUGGCGAACGGGUGAGUAACGCGUGAGGAACCUGCCUCAAAGAGGGGGACAACAGUUGGAAACGACUGCUAAUACCGCAUAAGCCCACGGUGCCGCAUGGCACCGAGGGAAAAGGAGCAAUCCGCUUUGAGAUGGCCUCGCGUCCGAUUAGCUAGUUGGUGAGGUAACGGCCCACCAAGGCGACGAUCGGUAGCCGGACUGAGAGGUUGAACGGCCACAUUGGGACUGAGACACGGCCCAGACUCCUACGGGAGGCAGCAGUGGGGAAUAUUGCACAAUGGGGGAAACCCUGAUGCAGCGACGCCGCGUGGAGGAAGAAGGUCUUCGGAUUGUAAACUCCUGUUGUUGGGGAAGAUAAUGACGGUACCCAACAAGGAAGUGACGGCUAACUACGUG
RNAcentral lists this ribosomal RNA (465 nucleotides) under uncultured bacterium. RNAcentral's name for it is "partial 16S ribosomal RNA". It matches the Rfam family "Bacterial small subunit ribosomal RNA", at positions 29 to 507 of the family's 1533-position model. The record is from RNAcentral.